RNAcentral lists this ribosomal RNA (253 nucleotides) under uncultured bacterium. RNAcentral describes it as "partial 16S ribosomal RNA". It matches the Rfam family "Bacterial small subunit ribosomal RNA", at positions 524 to 776 of the family's 1533-position model. The record is from RNAcentral.
UACAGAGGGGGCAAGCGUUGUUCGGAAUUACUGGGCGUAAAGGGCGCGUAGGCGGCCUUCUAAGUCGAACGUGAAAUCCCCGGGCUCAACCCGGGAACUGCGUCCGAUACUGGAAGGCUUGAAUCCGGGAGAGGGAUGCGGAAUUCCUGGUGUAGAGGUGAAAUUCGUAGAUAUCAGGAGGAACACCAGUGGCGAAGGCGGCUUUCUGGACGGUAACUGACGCUGAGACGCGAAAGCGUGGGGAGCAAACAGG